UAAGGUCCCCAAAUUCUUACUAAGUGUAAAAGGUGGUAGUAAACCAUUGACAGAUAGGAGGUUGGCUUAGAGGCAGCCAUCCUUUAAAGAGUGCGUAACAGCUCACUAUUCGAUGGUUUAUUGCGCCAAAAAUGUACCGGGGCUAAGUAAGAUACCGAAGACACGGAUGACCUGACGGAUGUCAGGUCGUGGUAGGAGAGCAUUCCAAACUGCGUUGAAGGCGGACCCGCGAGGGCUGCUGGAGUGUUUGGAAGAGAGAAUGUUGGUAUGAGUAACCCCAAAUUGGGUGAGAAACCCAAUCCCCGAAAAUCCCAGGUUUCCGUGGCAAUGGCAAUCAUCCACGGGUUAGGCGAUCCUAAGGCAAUGGCGAAAGCCGCAGCUAAUGGGUAGCCGGUUAAUAUUCCGGCCCGCCUUAUAUAUUCGAUGGAGUGACGGAGGAAAUAGAUUUGCGCGCCUUAAUGGUUUGGCGUCGCUUGCGUCAAGAUUUGGCUUCCAGGAAAAUCCGGAAGCCUGCAUUUAAUUGCGAAUUUCGCGCGCCGGCGUAAGGCAUUGUUUUUACAAUGCUAAUGCAAGAGAAGAGCCUUCCAAGAAAAACUUCUAAGUUUAGUUUGUAGGCAUCGUACCGUAAACCGACACAGGUGGGUGAGGCGAGAAGCCUCAGGGGAACGAGUGACUUGCCGCUAAGGAACUCGGCAAAAAAGCGGCCGUAAGUUAGCGAUAAGGCCUGCCCUUCGCAAGAAGGGCCGCAGCGAAAGUAUCUCUGGCAACUGUUUAACAAAAACACAGCUCCCUGCUAACUCGCAAGAGGAUGUAUAGGGGGUGACGCCUGACCGAUGCGAGAAGGUUAACGGUGGGGGUGGUAGGCCGCAAGGUUUACUGCUCACUGCCCGAAGCCCUCGUCAAUGUCAGCGGUAACUAUAACCGUUCUAAGGUAGCGCAAUUCCUUUUCGGGUAAAUAACUUGCCCCUUUUCGUCGCAAGGCGAAUCGAAGAAGUUGGCUUAUAACGGUGGAACCCAUGUUAUAAUUAGUGCAUGGAUAAUACCGUGGGAAGUCUCC
This 1057-nucleotide ribosomal RNA is filed under the name Candidatus Uhrbacteria bacterium. RNAcentral's name for it is "partial 23S ribosomal RNA". It matches the Rfam family "Bacterial large subunit ribosomal RNA", at positions 1040 to 1984 of the family's 2925-position model. The record is from RNAcentral. Lineage: Bacteria; Candidatus Uhriibacteriota.